RNAcentral lists this ribosomal RNA (292 nucleotides) under uncultured bacterium. RNAcentral's name for it is "partial 16S ribosomal RNA". It matches the Rfam family "Bacterial small subunit ribosomal RNA", at positions 505 to 796 of the family's 1533-position model. The record is from RNAcentral.
GUGUCAGCAGCCGCGGUAACACGUAGGGUGCAAGCGUUGUCCGGAUUUAUUGGGCGUAAAGAGCUCGUAGGCGGCUUGUCGCGUUGAUCGUGAAAACCCGAUGCUUAACGUCGGGCUUGCGGUUGAUACGGGCUGGCUGGAGUGUGGUAGGGGAGACUGGAAUUCCUGGUGUAGCGGUGAAAUGCGCAGAUAUCAGGAGGAACACCGGUGGCGAAGGCGGGUCUCUGGGCCAUUACUGACGCUGAGGAGCGAAAGCGUGGGUAGCGAACAGGAUUAGAUACCCCCGUAGUCC